This 435-nucleotide long non-coding RNA is filed under the name Homo sapiens (human). Its description in RNAcentral is "non-protein coding lnc-ARMCX4-2:1". Lineage: Eukaryota; Metazoa; Chordata; Mammalia; Primates; Hominidae. The record is from RNAcentral.
CAAAACAGCUGCUGAUGGAAGGAAAUUCCACUUGCUGUGCCUUAUACCAGGCUGGGAGUGUCACAAGAACCCUUUACAAGCUGCUCCCACAAUGACCAAAACUGUCUUCUCAUGAGUGCAAAGCAGGCAUGCCCAAGGGGCCCAGGAUUCCACAGUUAUGUUGUCCCUGUGCCUGCAGCCUGUGAAUGGACGCCCCACCACCUCCGUCACAGCAGUGGUCAGCACAGAUAAAUGCACACAACACACAUCGAUCUGGCCCUCUGAGAAGAGAAUGUUAGGCUUCUGAAAGAAGAGAUAAAUAGUGAGAGAUAACAUCUAAGAAUCAAAAUAAUAUAUUCAGUAAUUAUUUUCUGAACCUAUCCUAAUGCUCUGACCGAUACAUUCUUUAGAACAUCUACCCGUACAUUCCAAGGACCCUUUUUCCACGGCCCUUUU